Molecule: ribosomal RNA, 439 nt
Filed under: uncultured soil bacterium
Lineage: Bacteria
Description: bacterial SSU rRNA
Rfam family: Bacterial small subunit ribosomal RNA
Source: RNAcentral
AGGACGAACGCUGGCGGCGUGCUUAACACAUGCAAGUCGAACGAACUCUUCGGAGUUAGUGGCGGACGGGUGAGUAACACGUGGGGACGUGCCUUUUGGUUCGGAAUAGCUCCUGGAAACGGGUGGUAAUGCCGAAUGUGCCCUUCGGGGGAAAGAUUUAUCGCCAUUAGAGCGGCCCGCGUCUGAUUAGCUAGUUGGUGAGGUAAAGGCUCACCAAGGCUACGAUCAGUAGCUGGUCUGAGAGGAUGACCAGCCACAUUGGGACUGAGACACGGCCCAAACUCCUACGGGAGGCAGCAGUUGGGGAAUCUUGCGCAAUGGGCGAAAGCCUGACGCAGCCAUGCCGCGUGUAUGAUUGAAGGUCUUAGGAUUGUAAAAUACUUUCACCGUGAAGAUAAUGACUGAGCGAGAAGAGCCCGCUAACUCGUGCCAGCAGCCG